CGUGUAGGCGGAGAUGCAAGUUGGGAGUGAAAUCCCGGGGCUUAACCCCGGAAUUGCAUUUGAAACUGUAAUACUUGAGUACUGGAGAGGUAAGUGGAAUUCCUAGUGUAGCGGUGAAAUGCGUAGAUAUUAGGAGGAACACCAGUGGCGAAGGCGACUUACUGGACAGAUACUGACGCUGAGGCGCGAAAGCGUGGGGAGCAAACAGGAUUAGAUACCCUAGUA
Molecule: ribosomal RNA, 225 nt
Filed under: uncultured Alkalibacter sp.
Lineage: Bacteria; Bacillati; Bacillota; Clostridia; Eubacteriales; Eubacteriaceae
Description: partial 16S ribosomal RNA
Rfam family: Bacterial small subunit ribosomal RNA
Source: RNAcentral